Long non-coding RNA from Ictalurus punctatus (channel catfish), 1622 nucleotides. The record is from Ensembl. NCBI's taxonomy places the organism in Eukaryota, Metazoa, Chordata, Actinopteri, Siluriformes, Ictaluridae.
UUCUGUUCUUCAUGGCGAUGUUGCAUGACACUCCUCUCCACAGGCGCGCUGCUGUGACUGUUCAAGGCUUGUUCUUCCUUAAAAGUGCCAUGGUGAGAUGCUUUAGAUGGUGCUUUUGUCCACCCCUUCUCCAGGCUGAAUCCUGUGGAUCACCAGAUCACUCUGUGCGAGUGCACUGCUGAUAUGUCGAGUUCCGUAGACACAUGGUCGUGACCUGCUGAAUUGAGUGGUAAGGGGAUUUAAAUUUUAAACUAAAUUAAUCUGUUGAACAAGCUGAGCUGCUUGGUGUCAUUUAAGGAGUGCAAAUUUUUACUGUAAUUGCACUCUUGUAGCAGGCAGAAGGCAUUCCUGGUCUUAAGAGCUGUGGUUCAGCAUGGUGAGUAGUUUUUCCUUUGUUGUGAUGAGACCUAAGUGAUGCUGUGAUGAACCAAAUUCAACACAUCAUUCUUAUUGUGAAGUGAAGAAACUUUUUACCACUGAGCAUAAUUAAUUCUUCUGAAGCCUACUGGACAUUUUGUUGGGUUUCCUCUAACUGUUCUUUGUCUUCAAAGGUGCUGUGCAGUAGGUGCAAGAGGAAUGAGGUGAGGCAUUCCUCCUUGUUCACUUAAAGCCUAAACCCCAAGUUGAUACCAUCAUGAUAAACUGUGUGUUUUCGUGAUGUUUUUUUAACCUUGGGAUAGCAUAUGCAGGACUGGCACAGGUUUUAGUGUGUGCAGUCGAAAAGAACCUGACAAGAAGGCCUGCUACAACUGUUCACUUCAUGCCACUUAAAAAAAAAAAUAAUAAUAAUAAACUGUUUUGGUGAUGUACAUGUGACUUAUUUUGUGUGUACCUGUUGUGUAGGUUAAUGUUGGGGAAGGCUGUUCAUUUUGUGCAAGAUCAAGGAAGACCGACUUGAUGUUUUCCAUGUUUGCAUGUUAAAGACCUGACCCGUUGAAUAAAGUGGAAUUUCAGUGUUAAUGAAUGUCUGUUCAUUUGAAAUUAUUUUGUAGCCUGUGUUCUAUUCAGUUAAUUUUUUCGGAGCAGUGUUUCGCAUUCCUGCUUCUGCAGUAUCCCUGCCCUGUACAUUUGGAGUGGGGGUGGAGUCUGUAAGGGCAAUAUGAGGAAUAUCAGUUUUCAAAUACACUUCUACAAUAUGCCUCAUGAUGUAUAGGGUUGCUCAGAAACUGCUGCCAAAUGCAGUGGUGUUACUCUUUAAUAUAAAUUUGAAUAAAUAUUUUUAUUUGGGAGAAACUAACACAACUUUAAGAGUUUAGAGUACAUUUAAAAAUUGUAAGUGACCCUUAGCUUGUAUCUGUAAACAUCUGUUUAUUUUGAGCAGGUGUGGUGGUCUCUAAUUUUUAUACAUGUAAUGUAAAAAUUUGUGUUAAAAUAAAGCUUAUAACCUAAAUCCUUAUUUCCUGACUGAAAUUGACAGUAAAUGUGUUUUACAUAUUUGGAGAAUUAAAAGCGGUCACUUUAUAGAAUUGAACAGUGCAUAUUGCACACAUUUUAGGCUUGUAUGUUAAAAUAACCUGUUGCUAUAUAACAUGCAUUAUUGCAUCUCAAAAUAAAGGUUGGUUCCUCCAGGUUUGUGCUUAUGGAUUUCACCUGGCAUUGACACUGGCAUUAAUAAGAUCAAG